This 190-nucleotide ribosomal RNA is filed under the name Duganella sacchari. Its description in RNAcentral is "16S rRNA. Bacterial SSU". It matches the Rfam family "Bacterial small subunit ribosomal RNA", at positions 1 to 188 of the family's 1533-position model. The record is from RNAcentral. Lineage: Bacteria; Pseudomonadati; Pseudomonadota; Betaproteobacteria; Burkholderiales; Oxalobacteraceae.
UUAAACUAAAGAGUUUGAUCCUGGCUCAGAUUGAACGCUGGCGGCAUGCCUUACACAUGCAAGUCGAACGGCAGCACGGAGCUUGCUCUGGUGGCGAGUGGCGAACGGGUGAGUAAAAUAUCGGAACGUACCCAGGAGUGGGGGAUAACGUAGCGAAAGUUACGCUAAUACCGCAUACGUCCUAAGGGAG